GCGCUUGCUUUGGCAGCACAUAUACUAAAAUUGGAACGAUACAGAGAUUAGCAUGGCUCCUGCACAAGGAUGACACACACAUUCAUGAAACAUUCCAUAUUUUU
Molecule: small nuclear RNA, 104 nt
Organism: Hyaena hyaena (striped hyena)
Lineage: Eukaryota; Metazoa; Chordata; Mammalia; Carnivora; Hyaenidae
Source: RefSeq, a predicted model, not a curated record